RNAcentral lists this ribosomal RNA (310 nucleotides) under Simrothiellidae sp. 8 FSB-2019. RNAcentral describes it as "partial large subunit ribosomal RNA". The record is from RNAcentral. Lineage: Eukaryota; Metazoa; Mollusca; Solenogastres; Cavibelonia; Simrothiellidae.
GGAUUUUUUCUAAACGMCCGCAGAAUUUUAUCUGUGUUAAGGUAGCAUAAUCAAUUGUCUUUUAAUUGAAGACUGGUAUGAAUGGUUAGACGAAAUUUAACUGUCUCUUAUAUACAAAAUAARAYUUWAUCUYWMAGUCAAAAAGCUUUAAUAUAAUAAAAAGACAAAAAGACCCUAUAGAGUUUUAUUUUUAAACUUUUAUUAAAGUCUAUMAAAAUUUUGUKGGGGCAACUAAGAAAAACAAAAUUUUUCUUUAAUAAUAUUACUUAUAACUUAUCAUUUAUUUAAUACCACAAAGUACAUUACCUUA